GACGAACGCUGGCGGCGUGCUUAACACAUGCAAGUCGAGCGGUAAGGCCCUUUCGGGGGUACACGAGCGGCGAACGGGUGAGUAACACGUGGGUGACCUGCCCUCAGCUCUGGGAUAAGCCUGGGAAACCGGGUCUAAUACCGGAUAUGACUCCAUGACGCAUGUUGUGGGGUGGAAAGCCUUGUGCGGCUGAGGAUGGGCCCGCGGCCUAUCAGCUUGUUGGUGGGGUGAUGGCCUACCAAGGCGACGACGGGUAGCCGGCCUGAGAGGGCGACCGGCCACACUGGGACUGAGACACGGCCCGGACUCCUACGGGAGGCAGCAGUGGGGAAUCUUGCGCAAUGGGCGAAAGCCUGACGCAGCGACGCCGCGUGAGGGAUGACGGCCU
This 388-nucleotide ribosomal RNA is filed under the name uncultured bacterium. RNAcentral describes it as "bacterial SSU rRNA". It matches the Rfam family "Bacterial small subunit ribosomal RNA", at positions 28 to 417 of the family's 1533-position model. The record is from RNAcentral.